Molecule: long non-coding RNA, 4796 nt
Filed under: Canis lupus familiaris (dog)
Lineage: Eukaryota; Metazoa; Chordata; Mammalia; Carnivora; Canidae
Description: lncRNA (ENSCAFG00845003968.1)
Source: RNAcentral
GUCUUUUUUUAAUAUUGUUGUAGUGCUCAGGGGAUCCCUGGGUGGCUCAGUGGUUUGGCGCCUGCCUUUGGCCCAGGGCAUGGUCCUGGAGUCCCAGGAUCGAGUCCCUCCUCAGGCUCCCUGCAUGGAGCCUGCUUCUCCCUCUGCCUGUGUCUCUGCCUCUCCCUCUCUCCCUCUCUCUCUCUCUCUAUCAUGAAUACAUAAAUAAAAAUCUUUAAAAAAAAUAUUGUUGUAGUGCCCAAACUAGUUCUUGUCUGUUAACUAACACACAUCAAUGAACUAGGGGGAGAAGGUAAGAAGGCAGGCAAGGGUGAGGUCAGGUGAGAUAUAAGAGUCUAUAAGUCUUCUGUGUCUUCUUUGUGGCCACAGGGACUAAGGAUCUAGAUUUCCUUUCCAACACUCGCUGUCCUUAAACACAUAUGGUUUGGCUAACAUGAAGUCUAGGCAUAUUUUUUAUGUAGUCAGGGAAUAGCCUCCUUUAAUUCAUAUGGAGCUGGAUGAAGAGGGUUUAACCAUCUGUCCUUGCAUAAUGCCAUGUAUUCAUUUAGCAGGAAUAUGGAAUGGCUAGUUUUUAAUUAGUCCUCACUGACUGGGGAGCUGUGAAGCAUGGUGGUUAAUGUUGAUAUUGUCCCUCAAGCCUUUCUUUUAUGGAUGGAUUCUUGGACUUGUUGAAAAUGUUACAUCCAUGGUUUUUAUUUUACCAUUUUCAUUUCCAGAGCACAUUUUCUAAUUUCUUUCAGAAUGAUUGGUUUCAUUUUAAAGUGUUUUGAGUCAGUUUAAUAAGAACCUAAACUAAAUUGCUCUUGUACACGAGCUGUGGAGUUUCAACUUGAUGGGGCAAUGUGUCAACUUAAAAUAAAAUGUUAGGCUUUUUGUAGAACACACAGCAUUGGUGACCUUGGCCCUCUGGAGAGAUUAGAUUUCCCCAAUUGAUACAUUUGUGCUUGGCACAGGGGGAAUGAAUGCAUUUGGAAGUGAAUUUUUCUGAUGUUUUUUGCCUGUUUAUUUGUACAUAGUCUUGCAGGCUCAGAUCUGAUUUUAUUGACAUUACAUAAGUUCCCCCAAAAGACAGAAUAACAAUGAAAAUCUUAUUUACUUGGUUAUUACUCAGAUGUCCAUGGUUUGGAAGACUUAAAUUAGAAUAGAGAUGAGAUUAUAAAAUAUCGAUUCUGGUAAGUCAUUAUUAGCAACAAUUCAGUGUUCUGGGAUUCCUGAUAGUUUGGUUUUAUAAUACAAGCCUUCCAGGUGAGAAGGCAGGAAGAAAUGAGGGCCCUCAGAUUCAUUCAAUUCGUGUAACUAAUAUUACUGUGAUCAAAAUAGACAAGAGAUAGUGGAAAACAAAACAAAACCAAAAAAGAUAUUGACUAUCCUGAGCUAAGAUUUGUUGCUAAUUUCUGCUCUGAGUUCCCCAAAUAUAUUUUUCAUUAUGUGCAUCUCUAUGUUUGCAUAAAGCUAAUGAACGGACUUCAUGGUGAGCAGAAGAAAAAACAAGUAAGUUAGAGAUUUGGGGGGAUCACAAGACAUUGUGAAAAUUAUUAUGAGAUGAAGGAAAGCCAUCUUUACCCCCCGUAUGUGUUCAGGCAAUGAGCAGAAGUGAUGGGUGCAGUGAAGGCAGAAGCAGAUGUAACAGAAGUAUAAUGGAUAGCUAUUUACAAAUGUCUUCCAUUUAUAAAUUAGUUUGACAUCAGACAUGCAUGAUAUGACUUGCUAAAUAAAGAUAUAGUGUCUUCUAUGAGAAUCAGAUAAAAUCAUCUCAAAUAAAAAUAUGAGAUGCAUAUUAACAUAUAACUUUUAAUAUAAAUGCAUAAACAGGAAUAGAAGUUAAAUUGGACACUGAAUUAAUAAAAUAUGUAGGUACCAUGGUGUAAAAAAGAGACAACAUAAUACAGUGGAAAAGAUACUAGGUUUAAAGUCUGUUAAUCUGGGUCCAACUCAAAUUCUUUCUCUAGUUAAAUUUCUAAUCUUUGACGAAAUUCUUGAAUAUAUCUGGGUCUAUGUUUCCUAGUAUUAGAAAUAUGGGUAUAAUAAUACACAUGAUAAAUAAUAAUAAUAAUGAUCAUAUUUACUAUAGAGUGCUAUUUAGAUAUAUAUUAAGUGAGGUAAUAUAUUAGAAAAUCUUGAUAUUAAUGAUCUUUAUUUUUUUUAAGAUUUUUUUAUUUAUUCAUGAGAGGCAUAGAGAGAGAGAGAGAGAGAGAGAGGCAGAGACAUAGGCAGAGGGAGAAGCAGGCUCCAUGCUGGGAACCUGACGUGGGACUCGAUCGCCAGUCUCCAAGAUCACACCCGGGUCUGAAGGCGGUGCUAAACUGCUGAGCCACCCGGGCUGCCCAAUAUUAAUGAUCUUUAAUAAAUAUCAGAUCUCUUCUUUCUCCUUCCCACUAGUUAGAAUGCAUAGCAUUUGGUAAUGGGAAUAUUCACUUUGUAAUGAAAAUGGUAUAUUGAUAAGGGUAGAACUUCAAUCAUGAUCUUGCCUAUACUAUAAUUAGAAAUCACAUCUGAGAAAAAACAAUAAAUUAUGAUGAAUCUUCUUGGUGCUAUCACUGGUUUUAGUGUAAUUGCUCAUUAAGCCUUUAAAAUUAUUAGACCUUGUUAAUUAAAAAGACUUUCCUAAAAUGAGGACGCUUAUUCAUGUCAAAUGAUUUACAGUGAGAUCCUUUCUAAUUACAGAUGUUACAGCUUCAUUUGCAUAGUUGGGAUAGUUAGCUGCAGUCAGUGUUCACGAUAACAUGAAGAGGCUCCAGCACAUCAUGAAAUGUGUUUUGGGAACCAAAAUAAAAAUUGGUAAAGAGAACACUGUUGGGAUAGUUUUGUAUUAAAUCUUAACUACAAGCAAGCUUAUUGUUGAAAGAGAACACAGGUCUCAGAAUCAAGCAUUUUUGAUUUUGUUACUGGGAGCAUUAUCUCUUCCCUCCCAGAUGGAGAGAAAGGGUGAAUAAAAAAACCAGUGUUUAGUUAAGGCAAAUGCUGUGCUAAGAACUAUGUUAAAUAAUUUUUUUUUUCAGUGUAAGAAGCAUAGCAGACAAUCUCUUACUAAUUUAUCUGAUUCUAUUAUUCAGUGAUGCUUUUAAGAGACUUUAUACUGUCAUUUAUAAUUUUUAAUGAAAAACUACCAUGGUAAAUGGGGCAGUACAUACACUGACUAUUGAGAACCUCUUAUCUACCAGGGACAAUAAAUCACAGAAUGGGAAAGGAAAUCAAACUUGGGUCAAAUAAAAAUAUUCUGUUUUAUAUAGAGAAAAUAUAAAAAGCAAAAAUAAUUUUCUAAUAUAAUAAAUGUUAAAAGCAUGCUAUUUAUCAUACUGUAUAAAAUUAUAUUUUCAGGAUAAUAUUGUAUAUCAAAAUAUAUAAAUAUCCAUUUCUUCUAUUCAAUAUGUAAUGGCCUAGAAAAAAAAUAUUUUCUACUGUAUAGAGAUGACUAAAUACCAGAAAAAGUCUAAUAAUUUUAGAAAAAUGAGAGAUUUUAUAAGGAAUAUAGAUCUGGUCUGAAUAAUUUCAAGGUAUGAAUAAUUUCAAGGUAUGAAUAAUUUCAAGGUAUGAAAAGAAUCUUAAAAGAAUGUUAAAAACAAUAAGUCAGUUCAUGAUAUACCUUCUGAUAUAUAUAUCAUACGGUGAAGGAUCUGAUAUGUGUGUAUAUAUAUAUAUAUAUAUGUAUACAGUGAAAGAUCACAGAAUCAUUUUGCAGUUUUCCUGACAAGAGUGCAUGAUCUUAAUAUAGUAAAGAAGAAAUGAUUAGACAAAUCAAUUGAGCAUCAAUUUUAAAACAACUGCCCUGUACUCUUCAAAAAUGAUCAUGUCAUGGAAAACAAGGAAAGACUGAAAAAUUAUUCUAGCAUAGAAAAUAUAUGAUAGCCUCCAUUUCUUCUCACAAAGGAGUAAAGGACUGGAUUUAAUUUCCUGUCUUAAACAAUUAGAAAACUUGACAAAAUUUAUGAACCAACCACCUUCACACAUGAAACAACAGAAAUCAUAGGAUCCUGAUUCCUGAAGGGAAACAAAUGAGUUGAGCCUGAUGACUACACUGGCUUUUUGCCCAGAGGCACAUUCCUCAACAGGUGGCAGAGAGGGACAUUCCAAGUAGUUCAUAGUGGUCUUCUGGGGUGAGAUGGGAAUCAGAGAUCAGGGAGUUUGAAGCAGCUGGAAGUUGCAGAGCAGUAUUUUGGAGAAGAAGACAUUACACAGGAAAAGAGCUCCAUAAAUCUGCAAAUGCAUUUCUAUGAAUUUUGUUGAAAAUGAAGAAAUGAGGUAAUCAGAUGAAACUCUAUGAAGCUGGAAAAUAGGGUGACUGAGAAAUUGUGAGCUGAAUGGUACAGAACUCAUGCAGGAAUGGAAAUCAUUUGAUUUUUUCAUUAGCCAGAAGAAAGAGUCCUUGUUGACUAUUGGCAGACAUUCAGUAAAGGCCUCAGAAGAGCCCUGCUUCAGUAGUGGGGUUAAUCUAUACCUAAAAUAAAGGGCACUCUAUAACCACCUUAAGAAAGCUUAAAACAGCAACAACAACAACAAAAACAAACAAAACAAAACAAAAAGCUUAAAACAUCCUUGAGCCCCUUAGUCUAAACUGCAAACAACUCUACUGCUUAUCAGAAAAGCCCAAAACGCUUUAAAUAAAAACAACACGGGCAGCCCGGGAUCAAGCCCAGCUUAGUUUAAACUAAGCUCAGCAGUUUAAACGCAGCCUUCCGCCCAGGGCCUGAUCCUGGAGACCCGGGAUCAAGUUCCAUGUCAGGCCCCCUGCCUAGAGUCUGCUUCUCCCUCUGCUGGUCUCUCUCUCUCUCUCUCUCUCUCUCUGUCUCUCAUGAAUA